CCUACGGGGCGCAGCAGUGGGGAAUAUUGAACAAUGGGCGAAAGCCUGAUCCAGCCAUGCCGCGUGUGUGAAGAAGGCCUUCGGGUUGUAAAGCACUUUCAGUGGGGAAGAAAGCCUUGGGGCUAAUACCCUCGAGGAAGGACAUCACCCACAGAAGAAGCACCGGCUAACUCCGUGCCAGCAGCCGCGGUAAUACGGAGGGUGCGAGCGUUAAUCGGAAUUACUGGGCGUAAAGCGCGCGUAGGCGGUCUGAUAAGCCGGUUGUGAAAGCCCCGGGCUCAACCUGGGAACGGCAUCCGGAACUGUCAGGCUAGAGUGCAGGAGAGGAAGGUAGAAUUCCCGGUGUAGCGGUGAAAUGCGUAGAGAUCGGGAGGAAUACCAGUGGCGAAGGCGGCCUUCUGGACUGACACUGACGCUGAGGUGCGAAAGCGUGGGUAGCAAACAGGAUUAGAUACCCCUGUAGUC
Molecule: ribosomal RNA, 465 nt
Filed under: Vreelandella stevensii
Lineage: Bacteria; Pseudomonadati; Pseudomonadota; Gammaproteobacteria; Oceanospirillales; Halomonadaceae
Description: partial 16S ribosomal RNA
Rfam family: Bacterial small subunit ribosomal RNA
Source: RNAcentral